CCAAUGCGCCGCCUGGAUGCAGGUGAAAGCAAAGCAGAUGCCCAAACAAGGCCUCCGCCUCCUGUGCACAGGGUCCAAGGCACGGGGCACACAGCUCUGUCCCCUGGGCCCAGUGAGGAUCUGUUUUCACAGGGAUUACUCGCGCUCUGCCAUGCGGUUUUCACCCAAGUGGCCUACCAUGCCUCCUCCAGAUCUCCUCGGCAGGGGUCAGCAGCCCGUGGACUGAGCCGACGAAAGCAAGUGUCUGAGUGGUCCUGACGCAGGGCACGCUGCUGUCCCUGCAGGCUGGGGACCCAAUCCAGGGUCCCGUCCAGAGGUGGGGUGCCGAAUCGCCGCACGUGCAGAAGCCACCCUCCUGGACAUGGCCCAUCGGUCCUCACACUGCUCGCUCC
Long non-coding RNA from Bos taurus (domestic cattle), 392 nucleotides. The record is from Ensembl. NCBI's taxonomy places the organism in Eukaryota, Metazoa, Chordata, Mammalia, Artiodactyla, Bovidae.